Molecule: long non-coding RNA, 515 nt
Organism: Pteropus alecto (black flying fox)
Lineage: Eukaryota; Metazoa; Chordata; Mammalia; Chiroptera; Pteropodidae
Exons: 3
Source: RefSeq, a predicted model, not a curated record
GCUGAACCUCCGGCUGAAUGUAGGCACAUGAGCGAGCCCAGGCGAGACCAGCAUAACUCCUUGCCAACCCACAAGAUCAUGAAAGAGGAGAUCCUUGUUCCUAGGAGAUACAUGCCAACGAAUCAAAGAAUAAAGGGUCAUGAUGGCUGCAACUGCUUCUAGCUCAGAGCCUGCAGAAGACGUGCUGAGAAAAUGCAGGAAGAGGACAUGGUUUGUCACGGGCACAUGUGAAGCGAUGACUCUAGACUUUCUCCCUUGCUGGCUUUGAGGAGACCCAUGUGGCAAGGAACUGAGGACAGCCUCCAGCUGACAUCCAGCAAGAAACUGGGGCCCUGAGUGUUACAGCCACAGAGGUCUAAAUUCUGCCAAGAGCCGCACCAGCUGGGAAAUGGACCCUUCCCUAGGCGAGCCUCGGAAUGCACCCGCUGCCCAGCAGACUUCUGGGUUGCAGCUUUUUGAGAUUCUGAAACAAAGUCCAUGCCCAAGGUCCUGAAUCUCAGAAACUAAGAUUAAAA